Molecule: long non-coding RNA, 1467 nt
Organism: Lepus europaeus (European hare)
Lineage: Eukaryota; Metazoa; Chordata; Mammalia; Lagomorpha; Leporidae
Exons: 4
Source: RefSeq, a predicted model, not a curated record
CGAGCGCCGGCGCCCGCCCCUCGGCACGCUGGAGCCCGCCGGGGCCCGGGGCGCCCGGAGCUGCGCGCUGGCCCUGUCGCUGGGCACCACCUUAUCCCGACCGCAGACAUAGGCGCUGGGGAGCCAGGGAAGUCAGUGCUGUAGUGGGGAAGGGGCAGACUCGCACAGAGCUUCCCGGGGGAAACGGGGCCCCAGCCGCCUCCGUGGAACCACCCGAUCAAAGAAUAACUAUGAGGAACAAUGAACGCCAAAGAGGAAGCUCUCAGACAUGCUUGCGUGGUCAUCCGGAAGGCAUUGUCUUGUCUUCCCAAGUAGGUUGUAAAUUCCCAAAGGUCUCUUGUCUCUGUCCAGAGCUGUAAUAAACACCCAAUAAUUGUGUGAUAAGCUUCUAGCUUCUAGCCUGACCUUUCUUUUGCCAAGCUGCCUGCUCCCUUAUGACUACAUGGCUCUGAUAAAUGCAGACAAGGGCUUCUUCCCAUCAGUGACAAACCAUGUUGAAGGUUUCUUUGCUACUUCUCACCUGGCAGAUACAGGUGGUGACAAGCUCCGGUGCAGGCUGGCACCCCGGAGGACUUCCUCUAGCCAUCUCACUUCUCCAUCUUAGAUGGUGAAUACUUACUGUCUGCAUCACAGCCACGAAUUAACCAGCUUUUAUACCAAGGAAGAAUGAAGAGGAUCCGUUGGACAACAAGGAAGGGGACGUAUGCCGGGCACAGGGACCAGCAAAUGCAGACUCCAAGGAACGACACCACCAGAGCAAUAGUCCCCGUGUGGCAGCGAUAGUGGCAGCAGUGACAGUACUCAGGAUGAUGACAGACACGGCCAAUAUUGACUGAGUAUUCGAAUGCCGCGCACCCAAUAAGAGUUUUACAUGCUCUUGCCGUCUAGUCUUCACACUGCCAGGCAGCCUGCACGUCACCCACACCAUAGGGCAGGAGAAAGCCUUGAGAAGCAUGCACAGCUUGCCUGCCUUCAGGGGGCAGGAGGUAACCAGCAGGGCUUGUUUUUUUGUUCAAGCUGUUCCCCAGCGUUUUGCUCUCAGGAUUUCUUUAUACUCCAUAGAAAGGUGUCAACUGAUUUUUGUUUGUGUGAGCUACCCCCAUCAACAUUUAUCAUGGAAAUUAAAAUGGAAGGGGCAGGUGUUGUGGCACAGCUGGCCAAACCAGGGCCUGUGACACCCGCAUUCACAUCGACUUGUCUGGCUCAAGUCCUAGCUGCUCUGCUUUCCAUCCAGCUUCCCAAUCAUACACCCAAGAGGCAGCCGACGAUGCUCUUGCGUUUGCCACCUGUGUAGAAGACCCAGAUGGAGUUCCUGAUCCUCGGCUUUGGCCUGGCCCAGCCCUGGCUGUGGUGGGCAUUUGGGGAGUGAAACAGAAGACACAAGAUCUCUGUGUCUUCUCUGUCAGUCUGCCUUUCAAAUAAAGUAAUAUUUUUAAAAAAUUAAAUAUUAACUCAUUUAAAACACAA